Molecule: ribosomal RNA, 253 nt
Filed under: uncultured bacterium
Lineage: Bacteria
Description: partial 16S ribosomal RNA
Rfam family: Bacterial small subunit ribosomal RNA
Source: RNAcentral
UACGUAGGGGGCAAGCGUUGUCCGGAAUCCUUGGGCGUAAAGCGCGUGUAGGCGGUUCAGUAAGUCUGCUGUGAAAGUCCAGGGCUCAACCCUGGGAUGCCGGUGGAUACUGCUGGGCUAGAGUACGGAAGAGGCGAGUGGAAUUCCCGGUGUAGCGGUGAAAUGCGCAGAUAUCGGGAGGAACACCAAUUGCGAAGGCAGCUCGCUGGGACGUCACUGACGCUGAGACGCGAAAGCGUGGGGAGCAAACAGG